Capra hircus (goat) is the source of this 1121-nucleotide long non-coding RNA. NCBI's taxonomy places the organism in Eukaryota, Metazoa, Chordata, Mammalia, Artiodactyla, Bovidae. The record is from Ensembl.
GAGAAUUCACCCUCUGUCGGAAUCCCUGUUUUCUGAACAGAACGUGAGUCCUUGAUUGUGAAAGCUGGCUGAUGGGCGGGGGGUGCAGGCCCCCUGGCCUCAGCCCAGGGUGUUUGUGGAGCCUUGUGCGCGUGUCUGCAUCACUGGCUCUGCUUCCUCUCCUCCCGCCCCGCCACAAGCCAGCGGAGGAAGAGGAAGGCAGGGGUGACACAAAAUGGCCAGGGCUUCCUCGAUGGCACAGCCUCUUCUGCAAAGGUGUGUGUGCUGCAGCUGCGUUCAGAAGGCAGGAUGCCCCAGCCAAGGAAGGAAGUCUCGUCUCUGGUUUAAAUUUCCCAGUGCAGCCUGCUUCAGAAAUAAAUCAAAAAACAAGAUGCCCUUCCCUCAUCUGCUGCAGACAGCUCCCAAACACUCCAGCCCCAUGAGAUCUGAGCUGAGCUCUGGGUGAGACGAGUAUAGACCAGCAUGUUCCAACUCCCCGGCAUUAGCAGACAGGGCAGCUGCUGGGCAGCUGAGAGCUGACGUGCCAGGGAAAGUGAAGCCCAGUGACAAGAUGGAUGGGCAUCCGUGGCUGCUGUUUCAUGCCUAAUUAACAAGAGGAAAGGCCAACAAUGGAGACUGUAAAUCGACCUUGGAAAACAACCCAGGGAGUGGCUCCCCCUUUAUCCCCAGGCUAGGACCCCCGCCCCUUUCCUGGGCCCGCUGGGGCUGGCCCCUCAGCGCUCCCUCCUCGGCUCUCCUGCUUGUGCCGGCCCCCACUUCCUCUGCAUUUCCUUUCUCCAGCCAGGCCUUACCACUUUCCUGUUUUCCUGGUCAUGAAGGAUUCCAGCCGAGGAAGAGAAACGGUACACGAAGCUUUUUGUCUUCACCCGCUAACUCACAAUCACAAGGGAAAGAACUACUCUAGGUGUCUCAACAAUGAGAUGCGCUGAACCCACCACUCAUCCCAGAGCUUGUCCAGGGAAAGUCCAGAUGCCCCGGGGUGGGGGGUGCCCCCAUGGUCCCCCACACACCCUGUCCCUGGGGCAAAGUCCAGGGUCACCCCAAACACAAGCUUUAGUCACUUUUCAUGUGGCGACAGCUUAAUAGCUUCCAGCCUCAGAUAUUAAAAUGAAACUGCAAAA